AUGGAUGUUAGCCCAUGAGGUCAAUCCUGUAGCAAUCUAAGGCUUGAGAAAAAUUAAUCUUCUGGAAAAUUCCAAGAAUACAUCUUAGGGAAACUGGCUCUACCUUUAUGACUUGGAUCACACAAGGAUAUGCUUUUCAUCUUGGACUAGAACUGAGAGCCAAUGGAUGUGUUAUCUAAAACUAUCCCAGUGUGUUCACUAUACAGAGGAAGAUUCUGAGAUUCAAGACUCAAGACUGAAGAAGAUCAUUAUUUUUAUUAUUUUAGUCUUAUGCACAAAAUGAUAUCUACUGAAUAAGCAGGUUUUUAAUAGGUGACUUAUAUAUGUUAGCAAAAAUAAACACUUUGUCUUUUAGAUCUAUUCUAGUUUUUCAGUAGCUGUAGACUUAAGUGCUAACUUUUAGCCCAUAGGAUAAGAAGAAACCAAGUCCUAAAAGUAGGCCAGCACCAGGGUUCAGGCCUCUGACUUCAAGCCAAGGGCUCAUCAUCUUGAAUUGCGCACGAAUUUUUACACAGCGCCAAAGGAAACUGCCUGUACUUACUGUUGUAGGUGCUUUGCUGGAUUCAGGAUGCAGACAAGGUCCACGCAUUGUGGUUGGAACAAUGACUAGAUCUUUACCUGGUCCACAGCCCUCCCCAGUCUGGCUGCAACCUCUCAUGAGGCUGAGCUCACCAUGAACCCCUGCUCUAGGCGUCUGCAUAGUGUUCUGUUUGUCCCCGUGACUGUCCACCUCUUCUUUGGCCUGUUGGCAUGCGCUUAUCCUCCAGACCUCAGUCCAAAGCUUUAUUGAAGUAUCAGAGAAUCAUUUUCUUAAGAGAUGGUAAUGGAAUCCAUGCAUUUGAAAUAAAUCAACAGAAAAAAAUGAUUCAGAAGAGAGGGAACUAGCCUAAGGACAACUGUGAUAUUGUGAAAUAUAUAUAUGGGUCUUCAUCCUGUGUCCUGGCAUACCUAAAACCCUUGGAAUAUCCAAAGGCAUGCUUUUCAUGUGCAAAUGAUUGACUGAUGUCUUCAGGAUGGAGCCAAUCACCAGAAAUGUCAAAGCAUAAUUAGAGUGUUGGGACUUUCAGCCAUACCCCACACCCCUGACCUUUGGGGAGGAGAGACGGGCAGAAGGUUAAGUCCAUCAACAAUGGCCAGUGAUGUAAUCAGUCAUGCCUAUGUAAUGAAGCUUCCAUAAAAAUCCCAAAGGACUGGGUCUGGAGAGCUUCUGGAUAUCUGAGCACAUGGAGGUUCCUGGAGGGUGGUGCCUGGGGCAGUCAUGGAAGCAUCUCAUCCCUUCCCACAUGCCUUGCCCUAUGCAUCUCUUCAUCUGUAUCCUUUAAAAUAUCUUUGUAAUAAACUGCUAAGC
Long non-coding RNA from Homo sapiens (human), 1348 nucleotides. Ensembl annotates it as long intergenic non-protein coding RNA 840. NCBI's taxonomy places the organism in Eukaryota, Metazoa, Chordata, Mammalia, Primates, Hominidae. The record is from Ensembl.